Molecule: long non-coding RNA, 555 nt
Organism: Cucumis melo (muskmelon)
Lineage: Eukaryota; Viridiplantae; Streptophyta; Magnoliopsida; Cucurbitales; Cucurbitaceae
Exons: 4
Source: RefSeq, a predicted model, not a curated record
UCAAUCCUUCUCUCUGAAAAGAUUUACUUCACAAAAAUGAGUCUCACAACUCGGUUCUUGGUCCUGAGAUUAGUAGGUCAACAUAGUGGUUGUCCUAUGCUCGUGAUCUACAGACAGAGAAGUUUUUUGGAAAGAAGAAGAAGUUUUUUAGAACGAAGAAGAAGUUGAGAACUACAAAGUCCGAAGUAUAGUGGGUGAACUCUAGUGGUGGUUCUGGAUGUGUGAUCGUGAGAAGAUUUGGAGCAUCAGGGAGCUUCAAAGGUACCACAACCCGGUUCUUAGUCCAAGUAUAACAGGUGAUUUCUAGUGGUAGUUUCGGGUGUGUGAUCAUGAGAAGAUUUGGAGCAUCAGGAAGCUUCAAAGGCUAAACGAUCGUGUUCAUCCGACCUAAACGAUCGAAUUUGUCCGGCCUGCUCUAAACAAUCGUGUUUGCCCGGUCUGCCCUCAACGAUCGUGUACUUGUUUAACCCGGUUGGAAUUGUUCGGAAGCGGUUUAUGUACUCCAUCAAAUUAUUAUUGUAAUAAUUUAGUUUUUUAGCUUAACUUAGGAGCCAA